This 1170-nucleotide long non-coding RNA is filed under the name Anser cygnoides (Swan goose). Its description in RNAcentral is "lncRNA (ENSACDG00005005401.1)". Lineage: Eukaryota; Metazoa; Chordata; Aves; Anseriformes; Anatidae. The record is from RNAcentral.
CGUCGCGGCCCUCGGUGUCCUCGGGGGCCGCGGGGCGGGCUGUGCGCUCUGCGCCCUGCGCGGCUCGGUGCGGAGGAGGGGCCCCGGGCGGCGCUCGGCGCUGCGGGGCCCGAGGGCGGCGGCGGAGGUGCCGCCCGGAGCGCUGGAGCCGCCGGGCGUCGGCGGAGCCUCGCGCGGUGGAGCUUGAGUGACUCUAGUCAGGCAUACCUUGGUUAUGAUUGGUGAAAAGUUUUCUCGCUUUCGUUUAAAGACAGGUCGUUGGCUCAGGGUAGUAAACGUGCAGCUUAUCGGUCUCGGUGCACACAAGAGCAUCGGGUCCCCAUCUGGUCGCAGAGCCUAUCCAUGGUGUCUCCACUCCGCUUUACGCUCCGUCCCGUUCCUCCGAGUCAGCACACCGAGUUCCCCUAGUGCGAUAGCAUGUAAGGUUGGAGGCCUUGGAAGUCCUGAUCCAUCCAUUCCGAGCAGGAGAUUGUGUUGUGACGCGAACAUGCAGAGAUUCGAAGCUGCAACCUGAGUGGGAAGGACUGUUCCAAGUGCUCCUGACUACUGAGAUGGCAGGAAGAACAGCUGAGAAAGGGUGGACUCAUACCUGGGUAAAAGCAUCAGUUAACUUGAUACCUGAGAGACUGCAUUAACAAAGACUUUUAAGGUUCAAACUGUUAAAACUAUCCAUUGUAAACGUUUAACUUCUCCUCAGAAGAAUUCUUACUGAAUUAAUGAGUAAAAGGGAUUGAAUUACACAGAAUUGGAGUGUUUACAGGGAACACCCCCUGGAAGUGGGAGAAGGGGGGCAGGGGUAUUUAAUCCCUACGAGAAGAAUCCUUAUUAGUUUGUGAUUUUUAUUGUUUUGCUUAAUUAGUAUUUCUUAAUUAUUAUAGGGGUGUGUAUAUAUAUAGAGAGAGAAAUAUUGUAUUUUAAGUUGAUCUUAGUAAUACCUAUUCUGAAUGGAUUACUGGUAGGAUAGAGGGAAAAAUCAGCAUUUCCAAUGAAUCCAGAACAUCUCUCGAGUUCUAUCUUGAAAUAAUUGUUGGAUUUGCACCCAGAUGCCUAGAAAGACUGAAAAGGCCUUGUCCCUGAUUGCUGUUUCCAGCAGCAACUGUGUCUGGAUACUCUAGAUUUCUAAAAAUGACAGAUCAUACUCAGUCCUGGGAAAGAAUAAAUUUUGAAGUU